UCCAAACGCUCCAUUGCCAGUAGAGAUCAUUCUUUGCCUGAAGACAAAGAGAGAAGCCCACACUGGUGACUUGGUUGGGACUCCGGGUCCAACGCCCUAAAUCAAUUACAAUUUAAUUUGGUUAGGCUACUCCAUGUUUCCACUAUACUCAAACUGGACAGUGUUCCUUCUCUACCCCAUGGAGAGCACUUACCGGAUUUGACUGAAGUCUUCAUCUCUUCUCCUCUACUCAUCCACUGACGGUUGAUCCCUCUGUUCUCAGUGGAACGCUCGCUGAGCACCUGCGCUCGGGAGAAGGGCGUGGAGAUACACUCGAAAGGUACUCGUACGCGGCCAGGCUGAGUGAAUCGGGGAGUUGGCCCGGUUCUUCCGCGCGCAUGGAGGGAGACGUUAUGGACAAGCUAGAUAGCAUGGCUGCGGUGUGUGACUUCGAUCCCAUUGCGGGAAGCGUCCCGGCCACCAAAGUGGAGAUCACCGUGUCAUGCAGGAAUCUAUUAGACAGAGACACAUUCUCCAAAUCUGAUCCAUUGGUGGUGUUGUUACACCCAGGGCGUGGAGACCAAACA
Molecule: non-coding RNA, 566 nt
Organism: Salvelinus sp. IW2-2015
Lineage: Eukaryota; Metazoa; Chordata; Actinopteri; Salmoniformes; Salmonidae
Source: RefSeq, a predicted model, not a curated record